Non-coding RNA from Mycena leptocephala, 93 nucleotides. Lineage: Eukaryota; Fungi; Basidiomycota; Agaricomycetes; Agaricales; Mycenaceae. The record is from the annotation of a GenBank genome assembly.
GACUCGGUGGCGGAUGGUCCGUGUCCACAACUUAUGGAUCAAGGCGAUUGCGUUCGCGGUGGAAGGUUGCCUGUUCGAAUCAGGCCCGAGUCA